Mus musculus (house mouse) is the source of this 8241-nucleotide long non-coding RNA. RefSeq annotates it as RIKEN cDNA C230057M02 gene. NCBI's taxonomy places the organism in Eukaryota, Metazoa, Chordata, Mammalia, Rodentia, Muridae. The transcript has 5 exons. The record is from RefSeq and is a predicted model, not a curated record.
CCUGGUGGUUUUACGUAAGAGGCAGCGCGUUGGGGCCAGGAAGGGACGGAACCAUGGGGCUGGGUUUACACCAGUUAUGCGAAGCCCCUCCGCUCUGCCCCCGCCUGCGAGGGGCUUUCUUGGCUGGGUCUGUUCCUGACAGAAGGGAAGCGAGUUGUGGGGGUGGGGGGGCUUGGCAUGUGUGUGUGUGUGAGUGUGUGUGUGUGGUGUGUGUUUAAAAUACAGAAAAAAAAAAGAAGCAUGGCUUUCCUCAGCUGCAGAGGCGGGCCGGGUUCUGUCGGUGCCAAGUCCCUCAGAGCGGGCACUGUGGGGACACGGGAGGCACAAGAAGGCUGCAGAGGUGAGGGACGGGUGUGGAGAAAGAUGGACGCUUGCCAUCUCGAGCGCCAGCGGCUGCACGAGGCCAGACCCCACGAACAAAACCCACGGCAGAUCUCUGGCAACCCAUGUUAGGAGGCAGAAGACAGUUGGCAGCGAUGCGGCACAGAGGGCAGCCUGGGAGCGGGCGGAUGUAGCCAAGGCCAGCACGGAACAGACCUUCAGUAUAGGGUCUGGACUCCAGGAGCUGGGCAGGACUCCAGCCCCACCUCUCAGAACCUCUCCAGGAAGUGCACCGUCUGCUUCUCUUGAAAGAAGCAGUUCUAAUGCACAAUCUUUCUGUGCCAGCAGCAACGGUGCCAGGAGGAGGUCUACAGACUGCGGCCUCUGUGGAAGAAGGUGGCGCCAGUCGCACAAACCUUGCUGAUAAGGUAUCGCUGCACAGUGCGGCUGCGUGCAUCCUGCUCUGCAGAGGGAGGUCAGGGAGGGUUUCCUGGAAGAUAGAGGCAGCGUGUUGAUUGUGGAGGCUGCCUCAGGAGGAGUGGCCCUGAGGGGACAUGGGGUGAGGAGUCUGCCUGCCUGGGCAGGAGGAGCCGGUUUAUUUUGAGGUCACAUCUGGGAAGCUGCAAGGUGCAGUUAGCAUGGAGAAGGGGGUAGGGGAGCAACAGACCCCAUUGCCCACAUGGCUGGAGAGACAAACAUGUGGCUGUGCUCCUCAUAGGUAUGGCUGCUGAAGGACGCAGAAGAGGAAGAGAUAGGGAACCACUUUCAUCGUGGAUGGAUAGAGUGAGGGAAGGGUUUUAGGGGAAGACACACCAAGCACAACCGGCAGGGACCGUACUGGAGCCCAGGCACUGUGCAGAUGCUGAAGUCUGAAAGCUGAGUCUGGGAGGGCAGAGAGACGGCUGAGCUGACAUUGUUCCAGACAAGGAAGGUGACCCUGGCGGAGGCCCGUGUAGGGCAGAAACCUUCAGAGAUACUGCCUAUGACCAGCCCAGGUUGACAGAUGGGGAACCCAGCCACGAUCCUCCCUGGGAAGGUAUAAUAAUUAAAAACUGGCAGGUCACAUGGUCACUGAAACAGAAGAAAGGAGUCAGUCCUAGCCCGGCAGGGUUGCCUGUGUGUGGUCUUACAGUGACAAGUGUCUCUGUAUCUCUGCCUGCUCAGGGACCCUGCAGGCUCACAGGAGGUCCCUGGGAGUGGGAAGAGAAGACAGUGCUCUAAACACACAUCUCAGCUGGGUACCUACCCUUCAGAACCUCUGACCAGCCAAGCUAUGCAUUCUGGUCCUCCCUCCAAGGACCUACCAGUCCUCUAACCCCACUUUGUCACUAGGUCCUGCCUGUUCCCCGGCCGCCAGCCCCAGCCCCUGGAUGUUUUCUCCUUCUCCUUUCUGAUCAUAUACAGCUGGGGGGGGGGGGGCUGAGCCGAGGACAGGCCCAGCACACAGUAGGGAGCAGGCCCAGCACACAAUGGGGAAUACAUUGGUGAGGCUCCAGCCACAGCUUUAUGUAUAUUCAAGGCAUAGAUAACUGUUAGACUCCAGCCCUUGUGGUGCCCAAGGACCUCCCAGCUCCACUAGCUGUGCUAUCUCCAUUGAGUCUCUUCUCCCUUCAGUAGGGGAGGAAGCAUCUUCCUCAAUCCCAGUGGCUGAAUCUCACAGGACAAUCCUCUCUCCGGUCCCUUCCUUCCUAUUUUUCAUAUCUAUUUUCCCCCGAAGAGGCUUGACAACUGCCACUCCCCUGGAAUUUGGGAUCUGCAUACUCAGGGUCCUGCAUGGGUUCCUGAGAUAGACUCUGGUCCUGACAGGAGGCCAGAACUGACCGGCACCUGUAUGUGGUACCCACACCUAAGAGACUGAUGCUGAGGAAAUGUAUUGCCAUCCUUCCCUGCCUUCCCACCAGCACCCAGAUGCUGGCCCAAGGAAGAGGGUGACCCCAGAGUCAUCAGUGACAAGGGAAUCUCCAGAGAGAAUCCUCUACCCUUGGACUUGGUGUAAGCAUUCACAGGCCUGGACGUGGGAGGGGGCGUGUGAGCAUGUUGUAUGUGUAAGCUUGAGGACUGUGCACAUAUAUAUGCGAUCUGUGUUCAGGCAUACGCGUGCAAGCACAAGUCAUCUAUGUGCCUAUGCACAUGGAUGUGCCUAUGUGAACCCGCUUGUACUAACUUCUGCUCAGCCUUGCCCGGCAGAUGGACCCUAGGGAGAUGGUAUACAUCGGGGCACUUGCUUGCAGUCAAGCUUGAAAUCUGGCUCUAUAUCCUGUGUGCAUCUUGUGACGCUGGGCAGGCACUGAUCCUUUCCCAUGAGCUCUGAUGUCCUCAGGUGUUUGACAAGAGCCAAGCAUCCGACAGCCACAGAGAAGUCAUUUGCACAUAGCAAGCAACUGUUCCCUGCCACAAGUGAAAAAGUAUGCUCUUGGCUCUGCUCCUUCCUUGAAGAUGGAAGCUCGAACUCCAGAAGUCGGUCUGCAUGCCCCAAGCCUCACACUUCCUCUCUUGUCAUCCCUGGAACAGUCCCCAUUUGUCCCACUUGCUGCUUGGGUCCUCUUUUCUGCAGCCCAUCUACACGACAGUGGCCACAGUGGAACUUAGCAUAAUGCCUAACUUAAAGCCACCUGUCACUCCCCACUGACAUUCAGUUCACACCCACCGUCCUGUGAUAGCACUCUGGGCCCUAUCCCUCAUCCCUAGUGUUUGUGAGGUGCUCCUGGCUCCAGCUCUGGAGACCCCCAGCCCUUCCACACAUCCUCCUUCCCAGCCCUCCUCUUCAUGACUCAUGAGCCUGCUUGGUGCCUUCUAGGGGGGGCUUGCGGGCUUGCUCCAGGUGGGCUGAGGCUGUCCAAACUCAUGCCACACAGGCGUCCCAGAAGACAUCACUAGCCUGUUUCCUCUGACCUUCCCUCUCCCGCCCUCCCUUUUAUUCCAGGCUCAUAGCUUUUCCAGGGCAGAGUGUUUUUUCUCAUCCCUAGAUCCUAAACCACUGUUGAUGUUUAAGGGCAUUCUGUUAAAUACUGAACAAAUUCCAAAGCAGACACACAAGUCAUCUGUGUUUCUAUGCAAGCAGAUGUUCCUUUGUGGACCUGCACAUACUAACUUCUGCUCAGCCCUGCCCAGCAAAUGCACCCAUUUCUGGGAUUGUGGCAUCUGAAGACCCUCAUAUUCAUAUUCUAGUUGCCCAUUGUGCCCAACAGAAAGUAAUCAGGGGUUGGGAAGAGUGGCCGUCUCUAAACCCAAAGCCACGUCUCUAAAUACUGCUGACACUACCCAGGUGCCCGUGCAGGUCUGUGAGAGCCUGGGCACCUCCCUCAAACAAGGUGCUAGCUUUAGGCACCCAUGGACUAUUGACGGGCUCAUUCCCCCUGCAAGAGACCCCCAAUUGCACCCAACCACAUAGCAUUGGAACAGGCCUGGGGCAGGGCAUGGAAAAGGCUCCAGCAGGCCCAGGGUAUUGGAGGAAUCCUGUCACAGACAGAAGGACAGAAAGUUAUGGAAGUAUAUGGUGGGACUGCUUCUGGCCACGAUUAGAAUAACAGACGUCAGAAUCUCAUGACUGCCAAAGACAGCUGCUUAGCUGCACUUCUGCACAAGUUAGUUUGGAUGUAGAAUGGCUCCCGAAAGACUUGGAUCCUUGAGAGGUGCCAGGACCCUGAGGGUUCUGACUUACUCAGAACCUAGAUCCACAGAACAAUAUGUGCUAUGCUGGCACUACUGGGAAGUGGGACCUAGUGGGAGUGGGAGCUCACUGGGGGAAUGCUCUUAGGGGCUAGCUUGCCCUAGGCUCUGUCUGGAGAAGGUUCUCAGGCCCCUGCUGAGUGCUGUGGAGGCCAGGACGGCACAUUGUCUUAAUGGAUUCAGGAAGAAGAGGUUGGCGUUCAAGGGUCCCGAGGUGUAUGCAAUUAGCAGAGUAUAGAGAGAAGGAAGCUAUACAAAUGAGAGGCCAGAGCAGUACACAGGAGUGCCCUGGAACCACAAUGUGACUCACAAUGUGGCUCGAGUAAAGAUGCACAGGCCCUGUGAGAACUGUCACCAGAAGGCAAUGUGGCACUCCUGACGGUGUUCAGCUCUGGCAGACAGAGUGCAAAUGCUGGCUGAAGAGCCUGGAAAGGCAAGUCUUGAGAACAGCGUGGUGGCGGUCCUAGCACAAGGUGUGCCAUGUAACAACCCCUCUUUGUGAACAGCUUUUCCAGGUAAGGCUUCAUGGCUGAAACAAACAUCACCCUAUUCAGAGCAAAGAUCUCAGAGGACAGGCCCAGAGGUGACCCAGGUGUGGGAAUUGGAAGGGAAAGAUUUGGAAGAAGAGGAGGCCAUCCUGGGAUAUGGGGGACCCUGUCUUAAAGACAGAACAACAAAGGUCCUACCACUUGUGGGAGAAUAUGAAGCCACGUCACAUGUAUGUAAUUGGGAUGUGCAAGGAGAAGACAGAGAUUCAGAGCAGAUGAAAAAUUUUAUUCUACAACAUCAAUGAAGGUCACGUGGCAUUAAAAACUAAGAAGCAGGUAUAUCAUAGGCAAACUACUGAAGCCAAGGCUAAAGAGACUACCCCAGAAGCAGGUAGAGACAGACAGAUACAUCAGAGACACACAGACACACAGGGGCACCUGGUAAGGAAUAUUGGUGACUUCCAAUAAGAAGCAAUGCAAGACAGAAGGCAGGAGGAGAGUGUCUUUGAAAUGUCAAAACAAACAUAUAAACAAAGAAAAUGGAAACACCCUUCAAGAAUUAAGCUGAAACAAAGCAUUUCUUGGUAAACAAAGUCUGAGACACUCCAUCACAGCAGACACGUGUGUGUGUGUGUGUGUGUGUGUGUGUGUGUGUGUGUGUAUGGUGGAGAAGUCCUUCAAAAGAGAAGAUGGUCUGGAGAGCCUCAGGCUUACUGAGAGAGGAAGCCAUGGGAAGUUGGAAUGUGGUAACACAAAGCCCUCUUUCAGUUCCAACCUUCUUUAGAUGCCAAUGAGACAGACAUAAUAGUGUCCGGUGGGAAGUAUGGCAUCUGCAGAAGAGGCAUGUGCGCUUUCAACAGGGGACAGGAGGGUAGAGGCACUACAAUAGCAUCUCCUUCUAGAGCAUGAGGUCAUAUCUAGAGAUGGGGUGUGAGUCCAGAAUCAAGAUAUCAUUAUCCUUAGAGCAGCUGCCAAAAAUAAAAGAAGCUAAGAGGAAUAAACCAAAUGUUAAAGAAUAAUCAAAUCAUUCAAGUAGGCAAGAAGGAAAAUAUGAAACAAAAUUCAAUUUUGUAUAUAAAACCAACAGCGUGAUAGUUUAAGCUUAUCCGUGUUAACAGUUAAAUUAAAUAUAAAUGGGUUAAUAUCUGAGCAGAAGUCGAAGGGCCAGCGUGUCUGGUUCAACCUUCCUACCAUGUUAGAAGCCCCGGGUUGGUUGAAUUCCCAGUACCACGAGAAAGGAAAAGAAACAAAAGGAAGGCCAGUCAGAUGCCUCAGUGAGAAACGGUGCUUGCCGCCAAACCUGACAACCUAAGUGUGAUUCCCCAAACUCACAUGGUGGAAGGAGAGACGUGGCCCCUGAAAGCUGUCCUCUGACCUCCACACACAUGCUAUGAAUUUGAGCAUACAUGCGUGUGAAUACACACACACACACACACCACUUUUCAAAAAUUGGGAGGAAAUGAGGGACGGUUACACUAGGAGUAGACAGAGUAGCCUGCAGACGAGAAAUCCUAAUAGAGUUGGAGAGGAACACACCAGUUAUGAACUCAGAAGAAGAGCCAUGGGGCCUGCUCUUAAGAAGUUCAAAACACAUGACACAAAUCCAAAGGGAAACAGAGAAACUCAUAGCCACCGUUGGGAGUCCCAACAUCCCCGUCAAAUAUAGAACCAGAAAAACCAGGAGGUUGGGGAGAGUAGGGAGAAGACAGGAGCUUCAACCACCAUGACCUCAUUGAUAGUGAUAGGACCCUUCAUCCAGCAGCGACAGGAUACACAAGAUUUCCCCCAAAGGCAAACAGAAGAAAGGUGCAGUGACAUUUUGACUUUAUCUCAAUACAUUUAGCGCUGAAGGAGGUUGGGUAAUUUUGUCACCGUCAGAGAUUGAGGUCGCUUUUGAGGUUUCCACGGCUAACAGAGCUCCAUCCACCAAAGCUCCCCAGUCUCCUACCAAAACACAACAUAAAACGAAACUGUGAAAAUCUGAACGUACAGCUAAUAAGUCCCUCCUCUUUCCCAUGUUGCUUUAAGUUCCAGGAACCCGGAACAGGACCCUGGACUCGACAGAGUGCAGUAAUCUAUGGCGUAGACAAUCUGCUGUUUCUACAACUGAUAUUUUGUCUUGUGACAUUUCUCAAGCUUGCAUUGGAAGCAGGAUGGCCCUGCAAAGGAUAAUAUCUUCGGUGAGGUCGGAGGAGAGACAGCAAGCACAGUCACUCGGAGUUUUGAUGUGAAGUUGACACAGGCUGAGAAAGAAGAGCCAAGAAGCCACGUCGCCUGGAGUAAACCCAGCUCUUAUCUGCCAGACCCAAGGGGGGAAUCUCAGAUUCCCCAGCUCCUGCCCAGCUCCUGCCCAGCUCCUGCCCAGCUCCUGCCCAGCUCCUGCCCAGCUCCUGCCCAGCUCCUGUGGGGCUAAAGUUCACUUAGAGCUGCAGGCCACAAGCCCAGGCCAUCCCAAGCAGGCCUCAUGACAAUGUAUAUGUUUCUGAGAAAUCCUCUUUUGGGGAGAGCAGGACUUAGCCUGCAUAGACUAGGGAUCCCCUGAUAGGCAAGGAAACAGCAGCCAGUCACUUGUAGGUUAGGUCCCAGGAGCGUCCAGUCCCCAUGCUGGCCCUGCUCAAGUUCCAGGAAGGGACUUUCACCCAGAAAUAGCUAAGGACUAUGACAACCUUCCCAACACACUUGUUUAUGAUUUGACUUAAUUAUUUUUCUAUUUAUCUCUAUUUCUGAAUCUCUCCCUUUGGGUUUCCUGAGCUGGAUGCCCUCUCCUUUUUGGGCAGGAUGCAUGGCCACCAUGGCUGCAGAUGCAUCGUAAGGAACCCUCAGAGGUGGUGGGAUUCUGCAACUGGGGGAGCCUGGAGCCUGGGGGUGCUCCACCAGCUCAGCCACACAUGUGGUUGUUCCACCCACUCAGCCCCCACCUUGUUCCAACCGGAGCCUGACGUCUCCCCAACCACAUCUGACCAUGUCACUCCUCCAAGACCUCACCCAGAUCCCUACCACCACCUGGCCCUCUGACAAAAGGGGAUGGGCUGGCAUUGUCCAUCUAGCCUAGGCUACAUUUCUCAGUCUUCUUCCCCCGGGUUUCCAGCCUGGACCAUGUGGGAAAGUCCCAUGGAGCCGGAAGAAGAUGUUCUUCUAUAGUCCCUGCCUCUGUACUGCUGCAUUCCACUUUGGUGACUUUUUGGCUUCUCGGAGUCAGGCUACCAUCCUUAUGAGGUCACGGGCACAACUAUGAAGUACCUCCCACCUGUGCUUCGGGGCCAGCCCUCCCUCAUAGAUGCCUCUCUCAUGCACUGCGACUCCAUCACUGACCACACAGCAGGAUCUGGAUGCCCAGACCUACUGUGCGCAGUGCCUGCCACACACCCAUGACAGUGUUGCAGUUGGGUAUGAAGUGUCCUCGAGAAGGGCCCUGUGUUGUAGGCUUGCCUUCCAACCCAGCAGCAUUCAGAGAUGGAGCCUCUGGGAGGUGACCUGUCACCAAGGCUGAUGCAGAAUCAGGAAGCAGUGGGAAGCAGGAAGUGGGAAGCAGGAAGUUGGAAGCAGGAAGUGGGACGUGGAUGGAGGAAGUAUGGAACUGGAAGCACGGCUUUCCCCCUGCUGGCUCCUCUCGUCUCCCUCUGCCUCUUGCACCCUGAGAAAUAAGCACCUUUUCUCUGCCUCACAGUCCUGGCAGGAUUCUCUGUCAGACUCCUCGUGCCCACAGACCGCAGACCAGAGCCUCAAAAACCAUGAGCCAAAAUAAAUCUUUUUAAUUUUAAAA